This 1196-nucleotide ribosomal RNA is filed under the name Peptoniphilus sp. RNAcentral's name for it is "bacterial SSU rRNA". It matches the Rfam family "Bacterial small subunit ribosomal RNA", at positions 129 to 1351 of the family's 1533-position model. Lineage: Bacteria; Bacillati; Bacillota; Tissierellia; Tissierellales; Peptoniphilaceae. The record is from RNAcentral.
CCUUAGACAUUGGGAUAGCCUCGGGAAACCGGGAUUAAUACCAAAUGAAAUCACAUAUGCACAUGCAUAAAUGAUCAAAGCUCCGGCGGUCUAAGAUGGACUCGCGUCCCAUUAGCUAGUUGGUGAGGUAACGGCCCACCAAGGCGACGAUGGGUAGCCGGCCUGAGAGGGUGAACGGCCACAUUGGAACUGAGAAACGGUCCAAACUCCUACGGGAGGCAGCAGUGGGGAAUAUUGCACAAUGGAGGGAACUCUGAUGCAGCGACGCCGCGUGAACGAAGAAGGCUUUCGAGUCGUAAAGUUCUUUUAUAUGGGAAGAUAAUGACGGUACCAUAAGAAAAAGCCCCGGCUAACUACGUGCCAGCAGCCGCGGUAAUACGUAGGGGGCUAGCGUUGUCCGGAAUCACUGGGCGUAAAGGGUUCGCAGGCGGAAAUGCAAGUCAGGUGUAAAAGGCAGUAGCUUAACUACUGUAAGCAUUUGAAACUGCAUAUCUUGAGAAGAGUAGAGGUAAGUGGAAUUUUUAGUGUAGCGGUGAAAUGCGUAGAUAUUAAAAAGAAUACCGGUGGCGAAGGCGACUUACUGGGCUCAUUCUGACGCUGAGGAACGAAAGCGUGGGUAGCAAACAGGAUUAGAUACCCUGGUAGUCCACGCUGUAAACGAUGAGUGCUAGGUAUCGGAAUAAUUCGGUGCCGCAGUUAACACAUUAAGCACUCCGCCUGGGGAGUACGUGCGCAAGCAUGAAACUCAAAGGAAUUGACGGGGACCCGCACAAGCAGCGGAGCAUGUGGUUUAAUUCGAAGCAACGCGAAGAACCUUACCAGGGCUUGACAUACUGAGGACCGGUAUAGAGAUAUACCCUCUUCUUCGGAAGCCUCAAUACAGGUGGUGCAUGGUUGUCGUCAGCUCGUGUCGUGAGAUGUUCAGUUAAGUCUGGCAACGAGCGCAACCCCUAUCUUUAGUUACCAGCAUUUCGGAUGGGGACUCUAAAGAGACUGCCGAUGAUAAAUCGGAGGAAGGUGGGGAUGACGUCAAAUCAUCAUGCCCUAUAUGCCCUGGGCUACACACGUGCUACAAUGGAAGAUACAAAGGGAAGCGAAAUAGUGAUAUUAAGCAAACCUCAAAAAGUCUUUCCCAGUUCGGAUUGUACUCUGCAACUCGAGUACAUGAAGAUGGAGUUGCUAGUAAUCGCAGAUCA